This 585-nucleotide ribosomal RNA is filed under the name uncultured bacterium. Its description in RNAcentral is "bacterial SSU rRNA". It matches the Rfam family "Bacterial small subunit ribosomal RNA", at positions 77 to 658 of the family's 1533-position model. The record is from RNAcentral.
AGCUUGCUUCUCUUGAGAGCGGCGGACGGGUGAGUAAUGCCUAGGAAUCUGCCUGGUAGUGGGGGAUAACGUUCGGAAACGGACGCUAAUACCGCAUACGUCCUACGGGAGAAAGCAGGGGACCUUCGGGCCUUGCGCUAUCAGAUGAGCCUAGGUCGGAUUAGCUAGUUGGUGGGGUAAUGGCUCACCAAGGCGACGAUCCGUAACUGGUCUGAGAGGAUGAUCAGUCACACUGGAACUGAGACACGGUCCAGACUCCUACGGGAGGCAGCAGUGGGGAAUAUUGGACAAUGGGCGAAAGCCUGAUCCAGCCAUGCCGCGUGUGUGAAGAAGGUCUUCGGAUUGUAAAGCACUUUAAGUUGGGAGGAAGGGCAGUAAAUUAAUACUUUGCUGUUUUGACGUUACCGACAGAAUAAGCACCGGCUAACUCUGUGCCAGCAGCCGCGGUAAUACAGAGGGUGCAAGCGUUAAUCGGAAUUACUGGGCGUAAAGCGCGCGUAGGUGGUUCGUUAAGUUGGAUGUGAAAUCCCCGGGCUCAACCCGGGAACUGCAUUCAAAACUGACGAGCUAGAGUAUGGUAGAGGG